Molecule: ribosomal RNA, 468 nt
Filed under: uncultured bacterium
Lineage: Bacteria
Description: partial 16S ribosomal RNA
Rfam family: Bacterial small subunit ribosomal RNA
Source: RNAcentral
GACGAACGCUGGCGGCGUGCUUAACACAUGCAAGUCGAACGGAAAGGCCCUGCUUUUGUGGGGUGCUCGAGUGGCGAACGGGUGAGUAACACGUGAGUAACCUGCCCUUGACUUUGGGAUAACUUCAGGAAACUGGGGCUAAUACCGGAUAGGAGCUCCUGCUGCAUGGGGGGGGUUGGAAAGUUUCGGCGGUUGGGGAUGGACUCGCGGCUUAUCAGCUUGUUGGUGGGGUAGUGGCUUACCAAGGCUUUGACGGGUAGCCGGCCUGGGAGGGUGACCGGCCACAUUGGGACUGAGAUACGGCCCAGACUCCUACGGGCGGCAGCAGUGGGGAAUAUUGCACAAUGGGCGGAAGCCUGAUGCAGCAACGCCGCGUUCGUGAUGACGUCCUUCGGGUUGUAAACCGCUUUCGCCUGUGACGAAGCGUGAGUGACGGUAAUGGGUAAAGAAGCACCGGCUAACUACGUG